This 503-nucleotide ribosomal RNA is filed under the name uncultured Actinomycetes bacterium. RNAcentral describes it as "SSU rRNA". It matches the Rfam family "Bacterial small subunit ribosomal RNA", at positions 420 to 915 of the family's 1533-position model. The record is from RNAcentral. Lineage: Bacteria; Bacillati; Actinomycetota; Actinomycetes.
GGGGUGUAAACCUCUUUCAGGAGAGACGAAGCCGCUCGGGUUAAUACCCCAGAGGGUGACGGUACCUCCAGAAGAAGCCCCGGCUAACUACGUGCCAGCAGCCGCGGUAAUACGUAGGGGGCAAGCGUUGUCCGGAAUUAUUGGGCGUAAAGAGCGUGUAGGCGGCCAGGUAGGUCUGCUGUGAAAACUCGAGGCUCAACCUCGAGCUGUCGGUGGAAACCAUCUGGCUAGAGUCCGGAAGAGGAGAAUGGAAUUCCUGGUGUAGCGGUGAAAUGCGCAGAUAUCAGGAAGAACACCCGUGGCGAAGGCGGUUCUCUGGGACGGUACUGACGCUGAGACGCGAAAGCGUGGGGAGCAAACAGGAUUAGAUACCCUGGUAGUCCACGCCGUAAACGAUGGGUGCUAGGUGUGGGCGGUGUCAACUCCGUCCGUGCCGAAGCUAACGCAUUAAGCACCCCGCCUGGGGAGUACGGCCGCAAGGCUAAAACUCAAAGGAAUUGACG